UGAACCUGCGGAAGGAUCAAUCUUA
RNAcentral lists this ribosomal RNA (25 nucleotides) under Moneuplotes crassus. RNAcentral's name for it is "partial 18S ribosomal RNA". RNAcentral also lists the same sequence under 2 other names. Lineage: Eukaryota; Ciliophora; Spirotrichea; Euplotida; Euplotidae. The record is from RNAcentral.